CAGGCUGUUUUUCACUCGUGCCGUGAGGUGUUAGGUUAAGUCCUGCAACGAGCGCAACCCCUGUCACUAGUUGCCAUCAUUAAGUUGGGGACUCUAGUGAGACUGCCUACGCAAGUAGAGAGGAAGGUGGGGAUGACGUCAAAUCAUCACGGCCCUUACGCCUUGGGCCACACACGUAAUACAAUGGCCGGUACAGAGGGCAGCUACACAGCGAUGUGAUGCAAAUCUCGAAAGCCGGUCUCAGUUCGGAUUGGAGUCUGCAACUCGACUCUAUGAAGCUGGAAUCGCUAGUAAUCGCGCAUCAGCCAUGGCGCGGUGAAUACGUUCCCGGGCCUUGUACACACCGCCCGUCAAGCCAUGGAAGUCUGGGGUACCUGAAGUCGGUGACCGUAACAGGAGCUGCUUUUGUGACCAU
RNAcentral lists this ribosomal RNA (415 nucleotides) under bacterium 14S112. RNAcentral's name for it is "bacterial SSU rRNA". It matches the Rfam family "Bacterial small subunit ribosomal RNA", at positions 1044 to 1468 of the family's 1533-position model. The record is from RNAcentral.